GACGAACGCUGGCGGCGUGCUUAACACAUGCAAGUCGAACGGAAAGGCCCUGCUUUUGUGGGGUGCUCGAGUGGCGAACGGGUGAGUAACACGUGAGUAACCUGCCCUUGACUUUGGGAUAACUUCAGGAAACUGGGGCUAAUACCGGAUAGGAGCUCCUGCUGCAUGGUGGGGGUUGGAGAGUUUCGGCGGUUGGGGAUGGACUCGCGGCUUAUCAGCUUGUUGGUGGGGUAGUGGCUUACCAAGGCUUUGACGGGUAGCCGGCCUGAGAGGGUGACCGGCCACAUUGGGACUGAGAUACGGCCCAGACUCCUACGGGAGGCAGCAGUGGGGAAUAUUGCACAAUGGGCGGAAGCCUGAUGCAGCAACGCCGCGUGCGGGAUGACGGCCUUCGGGUUGUAAACCGCUUUCGCCUGUGACGAAGCGUGAGUGACGGUAAUGGGUAAAGAAGCACCGGCUAACUACGUGCCAGCAGCCGCGGUGAUACGUAGGGUGCGAGCGUUGUCCGGAUUUAUUGGGCGUAAAGGGCUCGUAGGUGGUUGAUCGCGUCGGAAGUGUAAUCUUGGGGCUUAACCCUGAUCGUGCUUUCGAUACGGGUUGACUUGAGGAAGGUAGGGGAGAAUGGAAUUCCUGGUGGAGCGGUGGAAUGCGCAGAUAUCAGGAGGAACACCAGUGGCGAAGGCGGUUCUCUGGGCCUUUCCUGACGCUGAGGAGCGAAAGCGUGGGGAGCGAACAGGCUUAGAUACCCUGGUAGUCCACGCUGUAAACGGUGGGUACUAGGUGUGGGGUCCAUUCCACGGGUUCCGUGCCGUAGCUAACGCUUUAAGUACCCCGCCUGGGGAGUACGGCCGCAAGGCUAAAACUCAAAGGAAUUGACGGGGCCCCGCACAAGCGGCGGAGCAUGCGGAUUAAUUCGAUGCAACGCGUAGAACCUUACCUGGGUUUGACAUGGAUCGGGAGUGCUCAGAGAUGGGUGUGCCUCUUUUGGGGUCGGUUCACAGGUGGUGCAUGGCUGUCGUCAGCUCGUGUCGUGAGAUGUUGGGUUAAGUCCCGCAACGAGCGCAACCCUUGUUCACUGUUGCCAGCACGUUAUGGUGGGGACUCAGUGGAGACCGCCGGGGUCAACUCGGAGGAAGGUGGGGAUGACGUCAAGUCAUCAUGCCCCUUAUGUCCAGGGCUUCACGCAUGCUACAAUGGCUGGUACAGAGAGUGGCGAGCCUGUGAGGGUGAGCGAAUCUCGGAAAGCCGGUCUCAGUUCGGAUUGGGGUCUGCAACUCGACCUCAUGAAGUCGGAGUCGCUAGUAAUCGCAGAUCAGCAACGCUGCGGUGAAUACGUUCCCGGG
RNAcentral lists this ribosomal RNA (1343 nucleotides) under uncultured bacterium. Its description in RNAcentral is "16S ribosomal RNA". It matches the Rfam family "Bacterial small subunit ribosomal RNA", at positions 28 to 1378 of the family's 1533-position model. The record is from RNAcentral.